RNAcentral lists this long non-coding RNA (626 nucleotides) under Brassica napus (rape). RNAcentral's name for it is "long non-coding RNA (BNAP_LNC008341)". The record is from RNAcentral. Lineage: Eukaryota; Viridiplantae; Streptophyta; Magnoliopsida; Brassicales; Brassicaceae.
CGUCCCAAUUGAAGUUUCAAAAUACAAUGAAAAUCGAAUAAAAUCCACAUGACCUUACUAUAUGUACAUUUCCGCCGUACACUUUUGACCCCAACACGAACUAAAGACAUAUAACCAAGCCAUUUAUCAUUACUCUGGAUCCGACUUCCAUUUUAAUGGCUGGAUCAAUUAUCCGCUUUCUCCUACCUGUUGCAUUUUCAACCAUCAAUAACAUUUUGAAUUUACCACCUACUAAAUAACAUGUUUGGAUGGCAGCUGCCUCAUUGCCUAAAAUGCUCUCAACCUGUGCAAAUAAGAAAAUGAGGUAUCCUAACAAGAUAGACCAACGGACUACACCAGCCCAAGGAUGGGUUAGCUCCUAGCAUAUGGAGUCAUCGAUGAGCAUCCUGAGUCGGAGAACACCCGACCAACCAAAUGUCGUCGCCAUAUGCAUGUCUUUGAGAACCGAAGGAUGGUUCUUGAUAAUGACCGACCAACGAAACUUCAGUGACAAACAAAGAAGACAUUACAAACGAAGUCUAAGAGCCAAAACCUUAAAGAAUAUCACCACCUUCGAAAAGAAUGAUAGACCAAUGAACCACUAGUAAACAAGGAAGAUAGCGAAGAAGGGCGAAGAAUCAUCGAAC